UAAACUGAAGAGUUUGAUCAUGGCUCAGAUUGAACGUUGGCGGCACGCCUAAUACAUGCAAGUCGAACGAGAAAGCACUUCGGUGUGAGUACAGUGGCGGACGGGUGAGUAACGCGUAGGAAUCUACCUAGUAGUGGGGGACAACUCGAGGAAACUCGAGCUAAUACCGCAUACGCUCUUAGGAGGAAAGUGGGGGAUCUUCGGACCUCGUGCUGUUGGAGGAGCCUGCGUUAGAUUAGCUUGUUGGUGAGGUAAAGGCUCACCAAGGCGACGAUCUAUAGCUGGUCUGAGAGGACGAUCAGCCACACUGGAACUGAGACACGGUCCAGACUCCUACGGGAGGCAGCAGUGGGGAAUAUUGCACAAUGGGGGCAACCCUGAUGCAGCCAUGCCGCGUGUGUGAAGAAGGCCUUCGGGUUGUAAAGCACUUUCAGUUGUGAGGAAAGGUUAGUAGUUAAUACCUGCUAGCUGUGACGUUAACAACAGAAGAAGCA
RNAcentral lists this ribosomal RNA (494 nucleotides) under Gammaproteobacteria bacterium. Its description in RNAcentral is "bacterial SSU rRNA". It matches the Rfam family "Bacterial small subunit ribosomal RNA", at positions 1 to 492 of the family's 1533-position model. Lineage: Bacteria; Pseudomonadati; Pseudomonadota; Gammaproteobacteria. The record is from RNAcentral.